RNAcentral lists this ribosomal RNA (86 nucleotides) under Lepisosteus oculatus (spotted gar). Lineage: Eukaryota; Metazoa; Chordata; Actinopteri; Semionotiformes; Lepisosteidae. The record is from RNAcentral.
GCCAGCAGCUAUAUCACACUGCAGGUAUGAGCCUGGCUAGUACCUGGAUGGGAGACCUCCUGGGAAAGCUCAGGUUGCUGUUGGAA